AGAAUUUUUCACAAUGGGCGCAAGCCUGAUGGAGCGACGCCGCGUGGGGGAUGAAGGGUUUCGAUCCGUAAACCCCUGUCAUUUGCGAACAAACCUUGAUUGUGAAUAGCGAUCGAGCUGAUUGUAGCGGAAGAGGAAGGGACGGCUAACUCUGUGCCAGCAGCCGCGGUAAUACAGAGGUCCCCAGCGUUGUUCGGAUUCACUGGGCGUAAAGGGUGCGUAGGUGGUCGGUGAAGUUCGGUGUGAAAGCUCGGAGCUCAACUCCGAAACGGCAUUGAAAACUCAUCGGCUGGAGGGUCGGAGGGGAGACUGGAAUUCUCGGUGUAGCAGUGAAAUGCGUAGAUAUCGAGAGGAACACCAGUGGCGAAGGCGAGUCUCUGGACGACUCCUGACACUGAGGCACGAAAGCCAGGGGAGCAAACAG
RNAcentral lists this ribosomal RNA (424 nucleotides) under uncultured bacterium. Its description in RNAcentral is "bacterial SSU rRNA". It matches the Rfam family "Bacterial small subunit ribosomal RNA", at positions 358 to 775 of the family's 1533-position model. The record is from RNAcentral.